Molecule: unclassified non-coding RNA, 88 nt
Filed under: Pseudomonas cedrina
Lineage: Bacteria; Pseudomonadati; Pseudomonadota; Gammaproteobacteria; Pseudomonadales; Pseudomonadaceae
Source: RNAcentral
CGUGGGAGCUGGCUUGCCUGCGAUACAGGCACCGCGGUAGUUCCAGUAAUACCGCGGUGAUGCUAUCGCAGGCAAGCCAGCUCCCACA